RNAcentral lists this ribosomal RNA (1235 nucleotides) under Curvularia spicifera. RNAcentral describes it as "eukaryotic LSU rRNA". It matches the Rfam family "Eukaryotic large subunit ribosomal RNA", at positions 99 to 1377 of the family's 3401-position model. Lineage: Eukaryota; Fungi; Ascomycota; Dothideomycetes; Pleosporales; Pleosporaceae. The record is from RNAcentral.
CGGCAACAGCUCAAAUUUGAAAUCUGGCUCUUUCAGAGUCCGAGUUGUAAUUUGCAGAGGGCGCUUUGGCUUUGGCAGCGGUCCAAGUUCCUUGGAACAGGACGUCACAGAGGGUGAGAAUCCCGUACGUGGUCGCUAGCUAUUGCCGUGUAAAGCCCCUUCGACGAGUCGAGUUGUUUGGGAAUGCAGCUCUAAAUGGGAGGUAAAUUUCUUCUAAAGCUAAAUAUUGGCCAGAGACCGAUAGCGCACAAGUAGAGUGAUCGAAAGAUGAAAAGCACUUUGGAAAGAGAGUCAAACAGCACGUGAAAUUGUUGAAAGGGAAGCGCUUGCAGCCAGACUUGCUUGCAGUUGCUCAUCCGGGCUUUUGCCCGGUGCACUCUUCUGCAGGCAGGCCAGCAUCAGUUUGGGCGGUGGGAUAAAGGUCUCUGUCACGUACCUUCCUUCGGGUUGGCCUUAUAGGGGAGACGCCAUACCACCAGCCUGGACUGAGGUCCGCGCAUCUGCUAGGAUGCUGGCGUAAUGGCUGUAAGCGGCCCGUCUUGAAACACGGACCAAGGAGUCUAACAUCUAUGCGAGUGUUUGGGUGUCAAGCCCGAGCGCGUAAUGAAAGUGAACGGAGGUGGGAACCCGCAAGGGUGCACCAUCGACCGAUCCUGAAGUUUACGGAAGGAUUUGAGUAAGAGCAUGGCUGUUGGGACCCGAAAGAUGGUGAACUAUGCUUGAAUAGGGUGAAGCCAGAGGAAACUCUGGUGGAGGCUCGCAGCGGUUCUGACGUGCAAAUCGAUCGUCAAAUUUGGGCAUAGGGGCGAAAGACUAAUCGAACUAUCUAGUAGCUGGUUCCUGCCGAAGUUCCCUCAGGAUAGCAGUAACGUAUUCAGUUUUAUGAGGUAAAGCGAAUGAUUAGAGGCAUGGGGGUUGAAACAACCUUCACCUAUUCUCAAACUUUAAUAUGUAAGAAACCCUUUGUUACUUAAUUGAACGCGGGCUUUUAAUGAAACGUUAUUAUUGGGCCAUUUUUUGGAAGCAAAAAUGGCGAUGCGGGAUGAACCAAACAAAGGGUUACCUGGCCGGAGAAACCCCUCUUCAAACACCACAAAGGGUGUGUUUUCUAAAAACCAGGAGGGGGCCUUGGAAGCCGAACCCCUUACGAGGGGAGACAACCACCUCGCGGAGAAAAACCCGAAAAGAAGGGGUCAGGGGGCCUUUUCCUCUCCCCGCGGAAUAUUCUCCCGCAG